GCCCCGCCUGUAUUCCCCGACUCCCCUUCCCUCCAGCACCUAGCCAUGUUUUAAGGAGAGACGGAUAACCUUCUGAGGCCAGGACAGCUCCAUGCGGGCCGGAAUCCUCCCACCUCCUACACUUCUACCCCAGGCUCCCAGGGGCUCCUUCCCUCCCCCUCCUCCAGUGUCCAGGGCACCUCAGCCCCGGUCCCCACACUGGCCUAAGAGCUCAUCGCCAUAUUAAGAAAGGAAAAGGAGAGAUGCCGGAGCUAAAAAUAAGACCAGAUGAGUCGGAGCUGAACACGGAAGGCCACAGAAAAUCUCAAAAGCAUGGCAGGAGUGAGGCCAAGAGGGACAGCUGUCACUGUAGCAGGAGAGGUUGGAGCUAGCCUAAGCACAGCACGUUGGAGCUGAAGAGACCUCAGAAGCCCAUAUCCUGGUCUCCCUGAAGAGUGGCUAACGUGGGAAAGCCCCAAGGCCAGAGCAAAG
RNAcentral lists this long non-coding RNA (471 nucleotides) under Homo sapiens (human). Its description in RNAcentral is "HSALNT0016269". Lineage: Eukaryota; Metazoa; Chordata; Mammalia; Primates; Hominidae. The record is from RNAcentral.